Pan troglodytes (chimpanzee) is the source of this 3301-nucleotide long non-coding RNA. RefSeq lists it as uncharacterized. The transcript has 3 exons. NCBI's taxonomy places the organism in Eukaryota, Metazoa, Chordata, Mammalia, Primates, Hominidae. The record is from RefSeq and is a predicted model, not a curated record.
ACAUCACAUUUAGAGGCCUAUUAGAGGAGAUAGCAGUCAGUGAGGGUUUUAGGAGCAGAGUUGAUAUACUUGGUGACUAAUUGGAUAAGAAGUAUGAAGAAGGAGGUGGAUUUUUAAACGACCCUAAGUCUUUUAGUUCAGGUAACUUGCUAUAUCAAUCAAGAAAGGAGUUAUCACUAAGGAAAAGAGUAAGAGCAGGAAAAGGAAAGAACUCACUACUACUGUGCCUGGUCAUCACCAUAUAUGAUUUCAUGAUUCUCUGAAAAUUCCAGUGAAGGAGACAUAAUAAGACUAAGUGAUUUGUCCAAGUUUACACAGCUAAAGAGACCAGGAUUCAAGCUCAGGACCUUUUAACUGCAAAGCCAGUGCCCUUUUGUUACAACGUCAUGAAAUCCUUCCUGGCCGGCCGCGGUGGCUGACGUCUGUAAUCCCAGCACUUUGGGAGGCUGAAGCUGGCGGAUCAUGAGAUUUAUAUCUUCGUGUGCAGAGAAAAAUGUCGGGAAGAAUAUACACUAGAAUGUUUACAACUAGAGAGAAUGUGCCACCUUAGACUACGGAGAAAAGGGAGAAAAUUAAUUUUGGGUAAGUACCAUUUUGUAUUGCUCAAAUUUUUUGAGUGCAUUGUUAUUUUCAAAUUAAUUUUAACCAAAAUAACACAUCACAUAAAGUAAAAUAGUACUACAAAGCUUGUGAGGAAGUUCACAGGCCUCUUUUCUAUCUCUCCAUGCUCUGAUUCACAUUCCCCACAGGCAUUCACUUUCAACUCUUUAAGCUAUUUUUUCCGGUUUUAAACUCUAUAUUUUGAAUAACACAUUUGUACUGCUAUUUCUUGGCUUUCCCAUUUCAGACAUUAUCUAUUGACAUGACAUUCCACCAUGGAAAAUGGAUAUUUAUACUAACCUCUUACCCAGCCCCAUACACUCUUCUACUUUCUCUCACUCCAUUUCCCUCAAAUCAUGUCAUAUUUGGGUCAAAUAUAUAUUGAAUGUUACAUUAAUAUGCCAGCAUAAAUAUAGCAAUGUAGUACACUAUAUUGCUUCCAUAGCAAAACAAUAUAGUGUAGUAUAAUGGCAUCUUCUUUCUUAUACAACUUUCUCCUCCUGAAAAUCACUUAAUUUUAUUUCGCUUACUUGCCUUCCUAUGUUCUUAUUGAUAACUUACUUCUAAACAUUUAUUAGCUCUCUAAACAUCCUCUUAAUAUAACAGCUGGACACAUAGCUAAUCUAUCAGUGUCUUCUUGAAACAAAUGAUAAUGGAUACAGCAAAAGCAAUACUAAGAAGGAAUUUUAUAGCUAUGAGUGUUUUUAUCAAAAAAAGAAGAAGAAAAAGCUUCAACUGAACAAUCUAAUGAUGCAUCUUAAAGAACUACAAAAGCGAGAGCAAACCAAACCUAAAAUUAGAAAAAAAAAAUAAAGAUCAGAGCAGAAAUAAAUGAAACUGAAUUGAAAAAAAAUACAAAAGAUCAAUGACACCAAAAUUUGGUUUUUCAAAAAGUUUUUAAAAAUUGGCAAACCUUUAGCCAGACUAAGAAAAAAAGAGAGAAGAUCCAAAUAAAUAAAAUCAGAAAUGUAAAAGGAGACAUUACAACUGAUACUGCAGAAAUUCAAAGGAUCAUUAGUGUCUACUAUGACCAACUAUAUGCUGAUAAAUUGGAAAAUCUAGAAGAAAUUGAUAAAUUCCUAGAAACAUAUAAUCUACCAACACUGACCUGGGAAGAAAUCCAAAACCUGAACAGACCAAUAAGAAGUAAUGAGAUUGAAGCUGUGAUAAAAAGUCUCCCACUAAAGAAAAGCCCAGGAACUGAUGGCUUCACUGCUGAAUUCUACCAAACACUUAAAGAAGAAUUAAUACCAAUCCUACUCAGACUAUUCCAAGGCUGGGUGCUGUGGCUUACACCUGUAAUCCCAGCAAAGUAGCUGGAUGUGGUGGCACACACCUGUAAUCCCAGCUACUCAGGAGGCUGAGGCAUAAGAAUCACUUGAACCUGGGAGGUGGAGGUUGCAGUGAGCUGAGAUUGUGCCACUGCACUCCAGCCUGAGGUAACAGAGUGAGACUCUGUUAAAAAAAAAAAAGAAAAGAAAAAGAGCAGAAGCUAUUUUGAAAAAUAGAGGAGGAGGGAAUACUUUCAAAUUCAUUCUAUGAGGCCAGUAUUAUCCUGAUUCCAAAACCAGAGAAAGACUGUCAAAAAAGAAAACUACUACAGGCCAAUAUCUCUGAUGAAUGUUGAUGCAAAAAUCCUCAACAAAAUACUAGCAAACCAAAUUCAACAAUACAUUAGAAAGAUUAUUCAUCAUGACCAAGUGGGAUUUACCCCUUGGAUGCAAGGAUGGUUCAACUAUGCAAAUCAGUCAGUGUGAUACAUUAUAUCAACAGAAUGAAGGAUGAAAACCAUAUGAUUAUUUCAAUUGAUGCUGAAAAAGCCUUUGAGAAAAUUCAAUAUUCCUUCAUGGUAAAAACCCUCAAAAAAACCUGGGUGUAGAAGGAACAUACCUCAUAACAUAAUAAAAGCCAUAUGUGACAGACCCACAGCCUGUAUCAUGCUGAAUGGGAAAAAAUUGAAAGCCUUUUCCUCGAAGAUCUGGAAUAUGACAAGGAUAUCCACUGUCACCACUGUUAUUCAACAUACCACUGGAAGUUCUAGCUAGAGCAAUCAGACAAGAGAAAGCUAUAAAGGGCAUCCAAUGUGGAAAUGAAGAAGUCAAAUUAUCUUUGUUUGCUAAUGAUAUGAUAUAUUUGGAAAAAUCUAAAGACUCCACAGGAAAACUAUGAGAACUGUUAAAUAAAUUCAGUAAAGUUGUAGGAUACAAAAGCAACAUAUGAAGAUCAAUAGCAUUUCUAAAUGCCAACAGGGAACAAUAUGAAAAAGAAAUAAAAAAAUUUACAAUAGUCACACAUAAAAUUAAAUACCUAGUAAUUAACUUAACCAAAGAAGUGAAAGAUCUCUAUAACAAAAACUACAAAACAUUGAUGAAAGAAACUGAAGAGGACACAAAAAAUUGGAAAAAUAUUUCAUGCUCCUGGACUAGAAGAGUUGAUAUUGUUAAAAUGUCUGUACUACCCAAAGAAGUGUCACCAAUGGAGGCUACAGAACAGCAAAUAUUGCAGAACAGCAAAUGUUGCUGCCUGAUCCUUCCUCUGAAAGCUUUGUCUCAGAGGGGCACCUGGCUGUAUGAGGUGUCAGUCGGCUCCUGCUGGGAGGUGUCUCCCAGUUAGGCUACUAAUCUAAUCUUUUUUCAUUCUUUAUUAAUUUUUAUUCUCAUGCCUUGGUAUCCAAUAGUUAUAAACCUCUAACAAGACUGAC